UAGUUAAAUUUUAAAGGUAAAUUCUGCCCUAUGAUAAUUUAAAUGGCUGCAGUAUUCUGACUGUGCAAAGGUAGCAUAAUAAUUAGUCUUUUAAUUGAAGGCUGGUAUGAAUGAAUAUAUGAGAAAUUAAUUUUAUUUUUUUUAUUAUUAUAAUUUGCUAUUUUAGUAAGAAAGCUUAUUUUUUUUUUUGGGACGAUAAGACCCUAUAGAAUUUUAAUUUUAUUAAUUUUUAAUUAUUUUUUAGUUUAAAAAUUUUUUAAUUUUAUUAAUAUUUUUUUUGGGGCGGAUAAUAAAUUUGACUUUAUUUUUUUAUUUCAUUUUGUUUAUGUUUUGUUGAUCCAUUUAUGAUUAAAAGAUUAAAUUACCUUAGGGAUAACAGCGUUAUUUUAAUGGGGAGUUCAUAUCUAUAUUAAAGUUUGCGACCUCGAUGUUGAAUUAAGAUUAGAUUGAGGGGUAG
Molecule: ribosomal RNA, 457 nt
Filed under: Homalodisca elongata
Lineage: Eukaryota; Metazoa; Arthropoda; Insecta; Hemiptera; Cicadellidae
Description: partial 16S ribosomal RNA
Source: RNAcentral